Long non-coding RNA from Bufo bufo (common toad), 195 nucleotides. RefSeq lists it as uncharacterized. The transcript has 3 exons. Lineage: Eukaryota; Metazoa; Chordata; Amphibia; Anura; Bufonidae. The record is from RefSeq and is a predicted model, not a curated record.
GUCCUUAAGGGUUUAUUGGAAAUUAGCAAAUGUUGUGCCCAUUCACAACAAAGGUAGUAAGGAGGAAUCUGGGAACUAUAGGCCAGUAAGCCUGACAUCAAUAGUGGGUAAAUUAAUGGAAACCAUACUAAAGGAGAGGAUUGUGAAACAUCUAAAAUCCCAUAGAUUGAAAGAUGAAAAACAGCAUGGGUUUAC